Molecule: long non-coding RNA, 146 nt
Organism: Xenopus laevis (African clawed frog)
Lineage: Eukaryota; Metazoa; Chordata; Amphibia; Anura; Pipidae
Exons: 2
Source: RefSeq, a predicted model, not a curated record
GUCCUCGUUAGUAUAGUGGUGAGUAUCCCCGCCUGUCACGCGGGAGACCGGGGUUCAAUUCCCCGACGGGGAGGUGUGAUUUUGAGUUAGUGCUUCAGACAGCUACUUAACUUCAAAGUGGCAUUUGACAAAAUACAAAUAGAAAA